This 1020-nucleotide long non-coding RNA is filed under the name Daphnia pulex (common water flea). RNAcentral's name for it is "uncharacterized LOC124202350, transcript variant X2". Lineage: Eukaryota; Metazoa; Arthropoda; Branchiopoda; Diplostraca; Daphniidae. The record is from RNAcentral.
CAGUUAUGGCUGGCGGUUUGCUGUCAAAAGUUAAGCUAUCUUUUCUUCGAAAAAAUCACCAAUUAUAGUGAAAUUUGAGUGAUUUCGUCUGUAACUUGUCGGUGAACCCGGUGAUGUGUUCAAUUCCGUGUGUAUUUUGGAUAACCUUAAUGUUUUUCAUAAACUCACAGUCUGAGGAAACGUGAAAGUCGUGCAGCCGACCGUCAACUAUUUUGUUCAAACUCAUUGUAUUCUACUGAAUGUGCCAUCGAAAUGAUACAGGUGACAACCAACACUAGCUUUAUUACAUGCUGAAACCUUAAUUCUUUAUUAGGAUUCAUCUUAAUUAUCGGCAGUUUCUAUUCCAAGACUUGCUAGAUCACCAACCCCAGCAUGGACCAAUCUCUCAUUCCAUCUUCUAGAGAACCUUGGAUAACUGAUCGAUGGUUUCAUGUAUAUAGCCUAUAAGACCAAAUGUCUGGUUUUUCACUCCAAAAUAAGGCAAUGACUACACGUUCAACGCGGAUUAUUCGUUUUGUCAUCGAACUUGACUCAUUCCAUCUUCUGGAUUGCUCAGGAAACCUGAUUUGCGUUACCUCCAUUUAGGUAAUGACCGAGAAGAUACGGCCUACAUGAACAUCAUUUAGGUGGUCAGCAUCAUUCGACUACCCAACCGACUUCUACUACCCUGCUCUCAACACAGCACGAAGUUUUACCCUUUAAAUUGUUGGCUGUUCGCAAUGUGUGAUGACGUUUCCUUGGACGAGAUGAUGAUUUUGGCGAGAAAAAUAUUGCGGACGAUUUCAUGCUGUCCUUUACCAUGGACCAAUCUCUAAUUCCAUCUUUUAGAUAACCUUGAAUCUGAUUGGCAGUGGUUUCAUGUGUUCCAAAUUACAGUUUUCUAAUUUGGCAUGAUAGCCUUUUUGAAAAGUAAUGUCCUUUCAAGAAAGACAACAAGGUCCCUUGUUUGCUAACCCAAUGGCUGCUACCCUUGAAUCUACCAUUUUACUUCCUUAAACGGGUCCUCUUGAUUUGAAGUAA